AUGAUGAGUGAAUUAAUAGGGAAACAGCAGAGUCUUAUCCACUUGGUUACUGCUGCCAUCUGCCCUUGGUGCCAGCUACAUCUGGGCCGAUGUCCAAAAGUGAACCUAUCUUUUGGUGAGAUUUUAUGGGUUUCCAGAGGAUCUGCUACUGAGAUUUAUGACUGCAGUUCCCUUCGUUUGAUGGUGGUCAUGGAUUUGAGAAGAAUACCAAAAAGUGCGGUACUCUUCUUGCCAUAUGUCAGGGGACACCUGCUAUCCACAUGAGAAGCUGAUGUUUGCCACUUCUUCAAUGUAAGUUUACAUGCUCUAUCUUUUGGAGGUGAGCCGCUGUGUCCAGUUCAUAAUCAGGAGGAUGGGGGAAAUUAAGAUUUGUUCCAUAUUUUUUGUUGUCAUUUUAUUUUAGGCUCAGAGGGUACAUGUACAUGUUUGUUAAAUAUAUAUUGCAUAAUGGUGAGGUUUGGGUUUCUAGCGAACCAUCACCAAAUAGUGAACAUUGUACUCAAUAGGUAAUUUUUCAACCCUCAGCCCCUUCUAGCCUUUCCUCUAUUGGAAUCCCUAGUGUCUAUUAUUUCCAUUUUUAGGUCGAUGUAUACCCAUUGUUUAGCUCCAACUUAUAAGUGAGAACAUAUUUUUUAUUUGGACUUUGUAUUAGUCUGUUCUCACACUGCUAUAAAGAAAUAACUGAGACUGGGUAAUUUAUGAAGGAAAGAGGAUUAAUUAACUUGCAAUUCCACAGGGCUGGGGAGGCCUCAGAAAACUUACAAUCAUGGUGGAAGAGGUAGCCGCAGAGAAAGAGGAGCAUGUGUGAGGAGGAACUGUCAAACACUUAUAAAGCCAUCAGAUCUCAUGAGAACACUGACUAUCACAAGAAAAGCAUUGAGGAAACUGCCUCCAUGAUCCGAUCACCUCCAACCAGAUCCCUCCCUCGACAUGUGGGAAAAAUGGGGAUUACAAUUAGAGAUGAGAUUUGGGUGGGGACACAGAGUCAAACCGUAUCAUAUUUUAUUUUCUCUUUCUGAGUUAUUUCACUUAGGAUAAUGGUCUCUAGCUCCAUUCAUGUUUCUGUAAAGGCUGUAAUUUUAUUCUUUGCUAUGGCUGCAUAGUAUUCUAUAGUGUAUAUGUACUAUGUUGUCUUUAUUCAGUGUACCAUUGAUGGACAUGUAGGUUGAUUUCAUUACUUUGCUGUUAUGAACAGUGCUGCAAUAAACAUUUGAGUGCAGGGGUCUUUUUGACAAAACUAUUUCUUUUUCUUUGCAUAGACACCCAAUAGUAAGGUUGCUGGGUUGAAUGGUAGUUUUAUUUUUACUUCUUUGAGAAAUCGCCAUACUGUUUUCAAUAGAGAUUGAACUAAUUUAUAGUCCCAUCAACAGUGAAUAUGCAUUCCUUUUACUCCACAUCCGUGCCAACACCUGUUCAACUUUUUAAUAAUAGGCACUCUAACUGAUGUGAGAUGGUAUUUUACUAUGACUUUAAUUAUUUUUCUUUGAUAAUUAGUGAUGCUGAGCAUUUUUUUGUGUAUUUAUUGGCCACUUGUAUGUCUUCUUUUGAGAAACUUCUGAAGGUUCACAUCCUUUGCCUACUUUUUAAUGGGGUUAUUUGGUUUUUUCUUGUUGAAUUGUUU
Molecule: long non-coding RNA, 1621 nt
Filed under: Papio anubis (olive baboon)
Lineage: Eukaryota; Metazoa; Chordata; Mammalia; Primates; Cercopithecidae
Description: lncRNA (ENSPANG00000042995.1)
Source: RNAcentral